Molecule: long non-coding RNA, 1391 nt
Organism: Octopus bimaculoides (California two-spot octopus)
Lineage: Eukaryota; Metazoa; Mollusca; Cephalopoda; Octopoda; Octopodidae
Source: RefSeq, a predicted model, not a curated record
AGUCAUAAUCUGUAUGGCUGAAAAUAGGAAUCCGAAAGUUUUUGACAAAAACGAUGGGUUGGGGCACAUAUUUAAUACUCACUCACGCGAGCUAUUCUUAUCAUGUAGUUCAGUACAACCUGUUGUAUGAUGAGGUCGUCAGCAAGUAUACCGGCUUCCCCACCAGGCUUGGCUAAUGAGGAGGGUAGCUAGAAACUUAACAUAAACAAUACUCGAUAAUCGGCGGAUGGAAACAGAGUAUUGCUAUUUUCACUUAUUCCAUGGUGCCAUGAUGUCCUAUAAAAGUCAAAGAAACAAUGUGGUUACAAGAGCAGGCAAAGAAAAAUUUAAACUAGGCAACCUGAAUAUCACACAUAACUGUUUAUAUACGUGAUUUGACUUGAAACAACAACAGUCAAGCUUUGUCUUUCCUCAAGCAAACUACUGAAAACAUGCAAUGUUUUGAUGUUUAUUGCAAAGCAGUCUGCCCAGAUAUUAUUAUCAACCAUUUAUCUAAUAUUUUUAAUAGAAGCAACUUUAAGAAGGUCAGUUCAUAACUACAGAUACUUAAAGCAAGAACACAAGAAACAGAAGAUCAAAUCAAUUAUAAUUCAUGGAAUGGAGAUAAGUGAAGCAUUAUCAGAUGUCUGAUACCAGCCCAUUGAUCCUGUAGGAAAAAGAAAGGUCAACAACACCUUGGUAAUAAGUUCUUGGCAUUCUAUAACAGUUAAUUGAAGACAGGGAAAAAGUGGCAGUUAAAAGACUGAAUGUCAGGUGAGUAGACGUAGCAAGGUAAAUGUUACCGACUACCCACUCUGUCCUCCACACCAGCACUUUUCCAUAUAAUUAAUGAUAAAUAAUUAAUGGUUCCCACAUUGGGUUGUCUGACUUUCUUUUACAACAAAUGGUACUAAAGUUAUAAAACAAAACUUUGGAAUUAGUUCUACCGAAUGAUGUGAUGGAAGAAUUUAAAGAAAGUUAGCUUCUUGUGGAGUAUCUGAAAAGCAUAUAUGAAGAGGUAGAGGAGGUGGACUUGAUAUCUUUGUAGGGGUGGAGCAAAGAGUGCUUGCAACAGAGGUGAAGCAAAAAAAAAAAAAAGAGAGAUAUGACAGAGAAAGAGAGUGUCUACAAUAGGGUGGGACAAGGAAGGUGUGUGUGUGGAGAGGUGUAAGUGAAAAAGAGAGGAAGAGAUGAUGUCUGUCUUGGAGGUGUAGCAAGGAAGAUGUGUUUGCAAAAGGGGUGGAGCAAGCAAGAUGUGUGGGAGAGAAAAGAAGUGAGAGAGAGAGAGAGAGAGAGAGAGAAAAAGAUGGAAGAAAUAUUUGAACAGUGGAAAUAAAAUAAGAAGCAGUGUUAUGGAUUAGUCAGAAGAGGAAGUCUUUUGGAAACUGGUGUGAAGAAAGGAUGCAGAAACU